ACGGAAGGCAGCAGCUAAGAAUAUUCCGCAAUGGGGGAAACCCUGACGGAGCGACGCCGCGUGGACGAUGAAGGCCGGAAGGGUGUAAAGUCCUUUUAUGGCAGAGGAAUAAGCGUGGGAGUGGAAAGCCCAUGUGAUGACUGUAGGCCAUGAAUAAGCACCGGCUAAUUACGUGCCAGCAUCCGCGGUAACACGUAAGGUACGAGCUUUGUUCGGAAUCAUUGGGCGUAAAGGGCAUGUAGGCGGUCUGUCAAGCCAGGCGUGAAAGCCAGGGGCUCAACCCCUGAACUGCGCUUGGAACUGGCGGACUGGAGUCGCUGAGGGGGAACCGGAAUUCCUGGUGUAGGGGUGAAAUCUGUAGAUAUCAGGAAGAACACCGAUGGCGAAGGCAGGUUUCCAGCAGACGACUGACGCUGAGGUGCGAAGGUGCGGGGAGCAAACAGGAUUAGAUACCCUGGUA
This 460-nucleotide ribosomal RNA is filed under the name uncultured Treponema sp. RNAcentral's name for it is "partial 16S ribosomal RNA". It matches the Rfam family "Bacterial small subunit ribosomal RNA", at positions 341 to 792 of the family's 1533-position model. The record is from RNAcentral. Lineage: Bacteria; Pseudomonadati; Spirochaetota; Spirochaetia; Treponematales; Treponemataceae.